This 253-nucleotide ribosomal RNA is filed under the name uncultured bacterium. Its description in RNAcentral is "partial 16S ribosomal RNA". It matches the Rfam family "Bacterial small subunit ribosomal RNA", at positions 524 to 776 of the family's 1533-position model. The record is from RNAcentral.
UACGAAGGGGGCUAGCGUUGUUCGGAAUCACUGGGCGUAAAGCGCACGUAGGCGGACCUUCAAGUCAGGGGUGAAAUCCCGGGGCUCAACCUCGGAACUGCCUUUGAUACUGUUGGUCUUGAGUCCGGAAGAGGUGGGUGGAAUUCCUAGUGUAGAGGUGAAAUUCGUAGAUAUUAGGAAGAACACCGGUGGCGAAGGCGGCCCACUGGUCCGGUACUGACGCUGAGGUGCGAAAGCGUGGGGAGCGAACAGG